GAUUACCACUUAGAGUGCCUCGGCCCUCCAGCAGAUUGGCAGGAGGAGAAUGGUCAUAUUCCCUAAUAUAUGUACGAAUUCCUGAAGGAUUAAAUCUAGUUUUCCCGCGCCAACCUUUGGCACACAUAAAGCCUGCACUUAAAACAGGUACAGUCUCAUCCCCAUCUACCGAAUAGACUCCGUCCUUCAGACAGCUAUCUUCAUCGUCAGCUGAAGUAUCAAUCUGAAAUGGAAUGCCACACUCAGCUGAAGUUAACUUAUAGACAUAAGCUCUUUCGGUGGGUAAGCCAACUCCGUACAGUGAAUAGAUUUCCAUAUCUGGAGCAGUUGGCAACCUACAAAACCAGAGUGAAGGAAGCAGAGCACUGAGAAAUAAAUGAACAUCUAUCAGCUAUUAGGAAAAUAUUCCCCAUUAAUUGCAUUAAUCAUUGGAAAGGUCAAGUAUUAGAACCACAACGGAGGAAAAAGGGUCCUAAAUGGUCAUUAUAUCAGAAUUAUAACAUCUUAGUUAAGCAAAAAAAUUAAGAAAACAUUUAAAUAAAAACUGUAGAUAAUUUCCGAUUAGGCAUAUUCUAAUAAGAUUGCAAUGAGAAGUUGAACUAUUAUGCAUAUGAGGGUUGCAUAUCCAGAUGGAAUUCCAUCUUAAAAAGUAUCAUCUUCCGGCACAGCACAAUAUUAAGCUUGAUUUAUGAAUUUAAAUUACUUCAAUUUACCAUUUCACUUAGUUUGUCAAAUACAUAAAACUAAAUAAGAAGAUCGACAACGAUAUUACCAUAAACAACAUUCAGAAAGUGAUACCAAGAAAAAUCAUCAACGCACAGCAAUAAUAAUAACUGAAAUAAUGAAGUAUAAACACUCUUACGUUGUCUCCAAGGGGUUUGACCAGUAUUUGUAGUGUUGGUACUCUGGGUUAUCCAAGUUUUCAGCAAUUCCAUAAGAGAAAUGAGCAUCACCACGUGCCAUCAUCUUUGGAGCAACAAAGUGAAGCAAAUCUAUAAUUAAUCCAGCAGUGUAAGCUUUAAAUUCUGCUACAGCUUUAAUACCACCAUAUCCCAUUUCAUGAUAUUCUGUCCACACUUCGCUGCAAGUACUAUUUGCAACACUUUGGCCCUUGAAAGCAUCCUGCACAAUGAUAGAGCCAAAAACUUAAAUGCAAUGAAUCAAAAUAAAAUGAUUCAGGGGUUGUAUUCAUAGCAUUGAGCAAACAAGAGAAAAGACUAGUUUAUUUUCCCGAGGAAACUUAAAAAAUAAGACAAGUUUCAGUGACACAAAAGCAUAUUGUCAUGCAUAUCUGCAUCAUCCACACGGUAUAAUUCACUGAACAGUCUACAAUAGGAGGUUGCACAUAUAGGCUGACUUCUGAAGAUCCCAAAUUUCUUCACCUUCAUUUAGCCAAAUGGUGGAUAACUUGAAGGACAACCAAAGCAUCAUACGAUGACACAGGAAAACUAACUCACAGAUUCUUGUAACAGGUAAUUGUUCUCCAAAGAAAAAUUGCUAUUAGUUUACAAGCUUCGAAAUAAUCAAUUCUCAACUUGUGAUGUGACAUAUAAAUGAAGGGCAUCUUCUGAUUUCCGCAAACAUCAUACCACACAUUGCCUCAAAAGUGAAAGAAAAGACCAGUAAAGUUCCAUAAUUCUCAAUAAAAAUCAACCAAAUAAUUUGCUUCUAAAUGGGCAUCAGCUGCCAUUUGAUAUGUACACACACACACACGCAUAAAUUCCGACCACAACUUCAAGGAAAGAUAGCCUUACCCUAAAAUCAAUCCUUUCAAUCUCAGAUGAAGGUGCGUCUACUACAUCUUUUCCAAAUGAUAUAACUCUUCCAUAAUUUACAUGCUUUAUUUGAGAAACCACAACUUCACUCCCAUUUUCAUUAGCAAUCUGGGUAUCAUUGGCUAUUUGCCUUUUUCUGCUAGGAGAAUGGCAUUCCUCAGGUGACCAGUCAAGACCACCCCAUAUAGUGUCCCCGCCUUUCGGUAUCAUUGACAUGGUUGAAUCCCAAGUGCGGGUCAUCCUCAUUAAAUGUUGCAAGGUUUGAUGAGGAAAAAGAUCAUGAUCCAAAAAACCUGGUGUAAUGGCCCUAAAUUUUGAGGGACAUAUUCUUAGUUCUUCAUUAAGCAAGAAAUAAAAUCCACUCGUUCAGAAAUAAAAUCCACUUGUUCAUCUUAUACAAAAUUAAAUGACUAAUAGAUAAAUCGUAUGCAGCCAAGCAAUGUAUAAGCAUGGUCACUAGUGAUAAGAGACACCUAGACUCCACUCAAGAAAUAAAACAAACACUUACAGGUUGUAAAUUUGCUUGGCUCAAAAGAAAAUGCAGACAUUUAGUUUCAAAUAGGGAAGCAGAGCAAAGAAACAAAAAUAAACAAAAGUAGGCAAAUGAAACAAGAAUCAAAAGUUUAUUUCUUUUAACACAACAUCACAGGCAAAGAUUCAUUUAUGAUAAUUUGCAAUAUAAUCUUUCCCGCAUUGUACAACAACAAGACAAGUGAUAUAAGCUGGUGAAGAAUGCCAAAAACACACUUCAACACAGUCACAAUAUUUUGUGAGGUCAAAUAAAGCAUGGCUGUCUUUUAUAAGAAUAUAAGCAUAAACAUAGAUCCAAACUACAGCCGUAACUAGGACCACUAUAAAUUGAACAAUAGAUCAAGCUCUUAGCUGCAAAAACUAAGAAUAUUUUGGGAAUAAAUAUGACAAAGUGGCUCCUUUAAAAACGCCCUAAUGAUGACAGAGUUUCCCCAAAAAGAAAAAAAAUAUAUAUAUAUAUAUACCAGAAUGCACUAGAAAUUGGUAUCCAUGGUUGUUUUACAUUUUUAUAGGCAAAUAAAUUCAAUUUUGUCUUGCAGACAGUGUGUUGCUGAAAAAAGAGGGAGAGAGAUUACUCAAGAGCACUUAUAGAGCAGCCAAGAAAUUAGUUGAAAUCAUGAUUCUGGGAUUGCAUAAAUCAAGUAUACUAGUUCAGAAGGUUGUCGUGAUGAAUGGUGAGGAUAUUUGAAACAAAUUAAUUUGCCACAAAUUGCUUGAAUUUUCCCAAUCCUCAGUGAAGAGAUUAUUAUUCUUGCAAAAUUUAUUUACAUCAAAUAACUCAUCAAAGCAUGAAUGCUUUGUAUCUGUGUGCGGAUAGAUACUAGAUAUUUACCUGGCAACUGCAACAUCUUUAGCUUCAGCAGAGAAAAGCCCAGCAACAGCUUUUGGAACACCUAAAAAUGGACCACCAAUGUUCAUCACUGCCUUUAUAUGCUUAGCACACCAAUCAGGUCCACCACCACCCCCCAUUGGAGCUGGUGCCUCGACCCACUUCAUAAAAUGUAGAAAGUACAAAACGCCCAUUGAAUGUGGAAUAAUAACUGCUUUUUUCCCACCAUUUGUAGCUACCAUCAAUUCUAUGUUGCUUUUAAUUCGGCUGAGUGUUUGGUCCCUCACCUGAUUAAUUAAGUUCAAAAGAAAUAUUAACAUAGAGCAUAUAAUCCAUGAAAAUAUGUAAAUGAAAAACCAGCUUCAAAAUCAAUGAACUCCAAAUGCAUUGGCAUAAUAUCAAAAAGAAAUUCAAGUUGGAAGAAUACCUCAGUGUUUUGAAAUGAAAGUCUCCAAUCAUAAGCAGCCAUAUACAUGUUUUUCUCCUCAUAUCCAAUAUUUGCCAAGUUAGCAAUCAGAACUGCCCAAACAAAAUAACCAGGAGCAAAGUAAUCAGCAGCCACAAGUCCAGAGACGGGCCUGACCCUUAUACCAGAAGGAUCUAGUCCGGUUUCAUUGUCCAGUGACAUGUGCUCCACCCAGCAUAGAGGUCUGCAAAAAUCCAUUUCAGAUUCACAGAAACGUGCUUAAUUAUCUGAACCAAUCAUCAAAAUUCGCAAGCGCAACUAACAUACAUAAAAUUGACAAGAAACCAAUCUCCAAGCCCACACCUAUGGCAAAGGUUUUUAUCUCUAGAUCAAUCAUGUGCCAUUUCAGGAUAGUAGAUUAUUUCCACACCGUUAUAUUAAUUGGAAAUAGCAGAAAAAUUGUCCAGGGAUACCUAGCAAAUGGAUUAAAUUAAACCCAAGAAUUAAUCAACAAACAAUAAUCGAUACCUCUUAUAAACUUCACCAAAAGUACCGCCCCACAAGCGCUUCCUGAACAACCCAUCAGCACACUGGUGCCCUUCCCACAGCUCUAAUCCACCUGUCACAAUUCCCGGCACAAACACCACCGGAUGCUUCACCGUCAACCCCUCCUUCUUCAAUUUCACGCCCGGUGGGUCCGGCACCGGGCCCGUAAUUGCCUCCGUCACGUACUGAUUAAACGACGUCGGAAUUGCGUUGUAUAAAAAUAGCAAAAACCACCACGUCACGCAUAUCCAACCAAUCAGCCAACAGCAAGAAUCAAUACACGACCAACUCUUCUGUUUUUUGGGGUUUUUGUCCUUUGAAGCAGCUUUGUUUUUCUUUUCAUCUUCUUGGCAAAUGUUUGGGUCUGAUUCUGUGGCGUUUGAGGUUCCGGUCGGUUUUCUUUGGCGAAGUAAAGACAUUGUUUAUAAAACUCUGAUUGUUUCUAGGGAAAAUCAAUGAAGUUUCUCGAGAAGUUUUUUUAUUUUUCUUGAAAAAAAAAGAAGUUAUUUGAAAAUUGAAGAAAAAUUGAUUAUAUUCUGUCUCUAAUUUUCCCGAGAAACUGUUUAGUUUCCCGGAAACAAUCUGCUUACGAGUACAAAAUAUCAGCUUAUUCGCAUUACAAAGGAAGAAGCUUUUUAGGUUCUGUUCGUUUCCAGAUUUACAUAGCUAACUGAAUAGACUUAAAUUAAACUGAAAUAAGCGUUUUAAUUAACUCAAAAAACGUAAAUUUUAGCUAAAACUGCUCAACAAGUUUGGGGAAAGAAAAAGAUAUGAGAAUAGCGACGGAUAAGGUUGAAAGAGUAAAUAAAAAUGAUAGUGCUAGCUUUUUUAUUAAAUUUAUGAAGAAAAAGUUAACUGAGAAAAUAUUUAUUUUCUCGGGAAAGAAGCAAAGGGCAAUGGACAUUUGGCGGGGAAUAAAGGCAGUUGGGCUCAAUAACGGCGGUGAGGCGUGUGAGUGGGAGGAGCUGAUAAGGCGUUGAUUGGUUAGUCGCUUUCCCCCUGAGACCCAGUAAAAUAUUUACACGCGGGUAUGCUUUAUCUUUUGGCCCGCCAGCCUGUCAGAUGAGGAGUCUAGAGUGCAGAGACAGCUAUUUAUUAAUUGCUCAAAACGACUCGUUUCUAGAUGCAUUUGACCGUUUUUUAUUUUAAUAAUAAAGGCGUUUCUAAGGAUUUGUCGACCGUUACGUAAAUAACAAUAUGUUCCUAUUUGAUCACAUUUUUAAGUUCAAAUAAUCAAAUUUGAUGGUUAAAUUUAUUUUUUUAAAAAUUGACGACCAAAUUUUCAAACUAAGACUACAGAGGGCCGGUUGAAAGAAUAUUCCCAAUCCCCAUUUUGCACGUGGUCACAUGACUCGCAUGCAAUUUAAAGGGUAUUUUACGGUCGAGUCUUUAUGGCUGGCUAGCUAAGUUGUCAAACAAACCAAUAAGUCACAUAAUCAAUUAGUAAAAUGUUAUUAAUUUCUUUCUGGCCUGGUCCGUCUUUAACUUUUUAGCUUAUUAGCACACAGGAGGUUACUUUGACAAUUUUAUUGCUAUAAUGUAAAAAGAUCAAUUACUGAUAAAUAAAAAAAAUGUGUUCAUUGGCUGGACCCUUUUCAUUCUAUUAUUUUAACAAAUUAUUUUAUGAUUUAUGUAAUUGUAAUAUUUCUAAAUAAUCCAAUAGCUUUUAAAAUUAGAUUUCAUGAGAUAUCGCCAUAUGAGAUAUCUUUUCUUACCAUCCCUAAUACAUAGUUCAAUUGGCCAUGAAUGUUUUUUUAUCGCACUUGUGAUCACUAAAAUUUGAAUAAUAAUGGGCGAUCUACAACCAUGUAUGUAUAAUAGUGGAUUCAUAGUAAUCGCUUAAUAAUAUCAACAAAAAAAAAAAAAAGGAGAGAAUUUGCAUUUAUGAUGUUUGUCUAAUAAUAAUUGCAGGUUCUGAUGAUUUUAGGUGACUCAAUACAAUCACUUCAUUUCAUUGAAUUCAUAAAACUUUAAGCUAUAAUGAAUACAUAUUUCUACCCCCCUAAGAAAAUGGCAAAAAAAAGAAAACAACAAACAUACAAUCAUAAAAAUCCGAAGAUAUUUUCUUCUUUUCUGUCGUAUAAGUUUAUAUCAAAAUCAGUUACAACAACCGCAUGUCUUCCCCCCAGCACAAAACAGAAGCAUCGGGGUGAUGAGACCGACAAGAGAGUUUACGCUUUACACCAUAAAAUCCGGCAUCUGGCCUCCAAUCCUGCCGUCAACAUUAGUGGGAAAUCUGGCAUGCCUCCAAGCAUGCCAACAAAUUUGGCAGCUUCGUAUAUGCACCGGUGGACAGAAGGCCAUUUCCACCAAAUCAAUUUUAUCCUUAAGUUCCAAAGCUGCACUGACAAGAAUUGGAAAGGUUUCAGCUAGUGCUCUUGAACAGAGAUGACGAAAACAUGAGUUUACAAUAUCACAAGCAGAAAUAGUUCAGAUGCAAUUUUUGCUUUCCACAAGAAAUUGCAAAUGGCAGUUAAUUUGGAAAGAUAUAGUGGCAUGGUGAAUCCUCCUUAUGAAAAGAUUGAUAUAGCUGUAAAAUCAGGAGAAAGUGCAGACCCUUCGAAUUACAGUUGCAAGUUGAUUUUCUCGGACAUCUUGAAGAUGUCGGAAUGAACUUGAUCACCUCCCAAGUCUUCUCCUCUAGCCCCAGCUGCCACCCUUAUAAUAUCUUCAAUCAAUUGAAAAUUUCCCAUUAUAUCAACAUGAGCACCACUUUGAGUGCCUCGGCCCUCCAGCAGAUUGGCUGGAGGAGAAUGCUCGUACUCCCUAAGAUAUGUCCGAAUCCCAGAAGGAUUAAAUCUAGUUUUCCCGCGCCAACCUUUUGCACACAUGAAACCUGCACUUAAAACAGGUACAGUCUCAUCCCCGUCUACAGCAUAGACUCCAUCCUUCAGAGGGGUAUCAUCAUCAUCGGCUGAAGUAUCAAUCUGAAAUGGAAUGUAGCAAUCAGCUGAGGGAGUUAAUUUGUAGACAUAAGCUCUUUCGGUUGGUAUGCCAACU
This 7087-nucleotide long non-coding RNA is filed under the name Citrus maxima (pomelo). RNAcentral's name for it is "long non-coding RNA (CMAX_LNC000087)". Lineage: Eukaryota; Viridiplantae; Streptophyta; Magnoliopsida; Sapindales; Rutaceae. The record is from RNAcentral.